This is a long non-coding RNA of Dreissena polymorpha, 381 nucleotides long. RefSeq lists it as uncharacterized. The transcript has 5 exons. The record is from RefSeq and is a predicted model, not a curated record. NCBI's taxonomy places the organism in Eukaryota, Metazoa, Mollusca, Bivalvia, Myida, Dreissenidae.
ACUUGGUUUCUAUACACCUAUCUGAAAUCGACACAAGACAAAAUGCGGUACACGAUUGUUGUAGCGAUGUUUCUGCUCCUUGCUAUUUCCGGUAGUGAUGCAGGGCCUGGCUGUGCGUGUUUAGCAGUGUGGGACCCAGUAUGUGGAGUAGACGGCAAAACGUACAGCAACGAAGGUUGCCUCAGAUGCGCUGGCGUAGCUCUGAAGCACACAGGCGAAUGCAGCAGAUAUGGUUAGAGUAAUUAGCUUCUGCAACAGAUGAACAGCUCCAUGAUUGAUAGUUGACACGCCGGCACAUAACUCAAUGAUGAAUUUCAUUACAGUUUAACAGUUUGUUGUUCACCUGUAACAUGCUUAAGAAUGAAAUAAAUUCGAAAUAUU